GGCGGCGUAGCUCAGCCGGUAGAGCAGCGGAAUCAUAAUCCGUAGGUCCGGGGUUCAAGUCCCUGCGCCGCUACCA
RNAcentral lists this transfer RNA (76 nucleotides) under Candidatus Fermentibacterota bacterium. RNAcentral's name for it is "tRNA-Met". It matches the Rfam family "tRNA". From Rfam's summary of the family: Transfer RNA (tRNA) molecules are approximately 80 nucleotides in length. Their secondary structure includes four short double-helical elements and three loops (D, anti-codon, and T loops). The record is from RNAcentral. Lineage: Bacteria; Pseudomonadati; Candidatus Fermentibacterota.